Apteryx haastii (Great spotted kiwi) is the source of this 173-nucleotide unclassified non-coding RNA. NCBI's taxonomy places the organism in Eukaryota, Metazoa, Chordata, Aves, Apterygiformes, Apterygidae. The record is from Ensembl.
AGGAUUGACAUUCUUAAAUCUCCCUUUUAUCCAUAGAAAAGAUAAAGCGUAGUCAGAAAAUAUGCAGCUUUCCUCAGAUUUUCAGGCCAAUAGGUCUUCGUUUGACCUGAAGGGACAUCUCUAAGGGAGGAAAAAGUAGUUUAGUCACCAUUUUCAUUUUAUCCUUGGCCUUG